GAUGAACGCUAGCGGCAGGCCUAAUACAUGCAAGCUGAACGGUAAGAUUUGUAGCAAUACGAGUCCUAGAGUAGCGUAAGGGUGCGUAACACGUAUGCAAUCUGCCCGCAACAGGAGGAUAGCUUAGCGAAAGUUGAGAUAAGACUCCAUAAGAUCACACGAGGGCAUCUGAGGGUGAUUAAACUACAAGGGGUUGCGGAUGAGCAUGCGACUGAUUAGUUAGUUGGCGGGUAACGCCCACCAAGACGAUGAUCAGUAGGGGAACUGAGAGGUUGGUCCCCCACACUGGCACUGAGAGUACGGGCCAGACUCCUACGGGAGGCAGCAGUAGGGAAGUAUUGGAC
Molecule: ribosomal RNA, 344 nt
Filed under: uncultured bacterium
Lineage: Bacteria
Description: bacterial SSU rRNA
Rfam family: Bacterial small subunit ribosomal RNA
Source: RNAcentral